This 497-nucleotide ribosomal RNA is filed under the name uncultured bacterium. RNAcentral's name for it is "partial 16S ribosomal RNA". It matches the Rfam family "Bacterial small subunit ribosomal RNA", at positions 30 to 523 of the family's 1533-position model. The record is from RNAcentral.
AUUGAACGCUGGCGGCAUGCCUUACACAUGCAAGUCGAGCGGUAACAGGUCUUCGGAUGCUGACGAGUGGCGAACGGGUGAGUAAUACAUCGGAACGUGCCUAGUAGUGGGGAUAACUACUCGAAAGAGUGGCUAAUACCGCAUGAGAUCUACGGAUGAAAGCAGGGGAUCGCAAGACCUUGUGCUACUAGAGCGGCCGAUGGAAGAUUAGGUAGUUGGUGGGAUAAAAGCUUACCGGGCCGACGAUCUGUAGCUGGUCUGAGAGGACGAUCAGCCACACUGGGACUGAGACACGGCCCAGACUCCUACGGGAGGCAGCAGUGGGGAAUGUUGGACAAUGGGCGAAAGCCUGAUCCAGCAAUGCCGCGUGCAGGAUGAAGGCCUUCGGGUUGUAAACUGCUUUUGUACGGAACGAAAAGCCCCGGGUUAAUACCCUGGGGUCAUGACGGUACCGUAAGAAUAAGCACCGGCUAACUACGUGCCAGCCGCUGCCGUAA